UGGGGAAUAUUGCACAAUGGGCGCAAGCCUGAUGCAGCCAUGCCGCGUGUAUGAAGAAGGCCUUCGGGUUGUAAAGUACUUUCAGCGGGGAGGAAGGGAGUAAAGUUAAUACCUUUACUCAUUGACGUUACCGACAGAAGAAGCACCGGCUAACUCCGUGCCAGCAGCCGCGGUAAUACGGAGGGUGCAAGCGUUAAUCGGAAUUACUGGGCGUAAAGCGCACGCAGGCGGUUGAUUGAGUCAGAUGUGAAAUCCCCGGGCUUAACCCGGGAAUUGCAUCUGAUACUGGUCAGCUAGAGUCUUGUAGAGGGGGGUAGAAUUCCAUGUGUAGCGGUGAAAUGCGUAGAGAUGUGGAGGAAUACCGGUGGCGAAGGCGGCCCCCUGGACAAAGACUGACGCUCAGGUGCGAAAGCGUGGGGAGCAAACAGG
RNAcentral lists this ribosomal RNA (429 nucleotides) under Chloroflexota bacterium. RNAcentral describes it as "Chloroflexi bacterium partial 16S ribosomal RNA". It matches the Rfam family "Bacterial small subunit ribosomal RNA", at positions 355 to 776 of the family's 1533-position model. The record is from RNAcentral. Lineage: Bacteria; Bacillati; Chloroflexota.